RNAcentral lists this ribosomal RNA (433 nucleotides) under uncultured bacterium. Its description in RNAcentral is "partial 16S ribosomal RNA". It matches the Rfam family "Bacterial small subunit ribosomal RNA", at positions 29 to 507 of the family's 1533-position model. The record is from RNAcentral.
AACGAACGCUGGCGGCAUGCCUAACACAUGCAAGUCGAACGAGACCUUCGGGUCUAGUGGCUCACGGGUGCGUAACGCGUUGGAACCUGCCCUUAGGUUCGGAAUAACUCCCCGAAAGGGGUGCUAAUACCGGAUACUGUCUUCGGACCAAAGAUUUAUCGCCUUUGGAUGGGCCCGCGUUGGAUUAGCUAGUUGGUAGGGUAAAAGCCUACCAAGGCGACGAUCCAUAGCUGGUCUGAGAGGAUGAUCAGCCACACUGGGACUGAGACACGGCCCAGACUCCUACGGGAGGCAGCAGUGGGGAAUAUUGGACAAUGGGCGAAAGCCUGAUCCAGCAAUGCCGCGUGAGUGAUGAAGGCCUUAGGGUUGUAAAGCUCUUUUACACGGGAUGAUAAUGACAGUACCGGGAGAAUAAGCUCCGGCUAACUCCGUG